This is a long non-coding RNA of Penaeus indicus, 864 nucleotides long. RefSeq lists it as uncharacterized. NCBI's taxonomy places the organism in Eukaryota, Metazoa, Arthropoda, Malacostraca, Decapoda, Penaeidae. The record is from RefSeq and is a predicted model, not a curated record. The transcript is spliced from 3 exons.
AACAAGAGUGGAUUCAGAUAAAAGUAGAGAGAAUGGGAGAUGAAGAGAAUUGAGUAAGAGAGAGAACGAGAGCUUGGCAGAGAGGUAAAGAGGAUUUUAAAAUUCUGUGCGACGUGGAAGUAAUGUGAACAACUUCAGUUCUUCCUCCUCCUCCAUCUCCUGCUCCCCUUCCUCUCCCACAUCCUUCCUCUCGUCCUCCUCCUCCUCCUCCUCCCUUUUUCUCUUCUUCUCCACGCCCCUCGACAAAGGCGGCCCUCACACACGGACUCUGGAAGGAGCACGCCAAAGGCAGGGGAAGGAGAAGGGAAAAAUGCGCAACGAAAAGUGAACCACCGAACACGACAACAGCGAGCGCAAGUUAAAAGUACACGAACGGAUAUGCGCUAUGCGAACGCUGCAGCCGGCGAAGUGAAGGUGAAGUUGUGCUGACGAACGAGAGAAGAAGAAAAAACAAACAAAUCUACAAAUAAGAGAUCGAGAGAAAGAGAGAGAUGAGAGAAUAAGAGAGGGAGGGAGAUAUAAAAGAGAGAGAGAGAAAGAAAGAAAGAAAAAAAAAACUGGAAAUGAAAAGACAAAGCUUUGACUCAUAACAGUACAAAAGACGCGGGCACGGCAUCCACGGGACGCCGGGGCAGGUGUGCUCGAACGGUAAAGAGGACAGGAAACUGUUCGUGGGAAUGCUAAGUAAACAACAGACAGAAGAGGAUGUACGUCAGCUCUUCCAACCCUACGGGAACAUUGAGGAAUGCACCAUACUGAGGGGGCCGGACGGAGCCAGUAAAGGUUGCGCAUUUGUGAAGUACGGGUCACACACAGAGGCACAGGCGGCCAUCAACAGUCUCCACGGAAGUCAGACAAUGCCGG